UGACCAUGGUCGGCAGUGAUCAGAAGGUCC
This 30-nucleotide non-coding RNA is filed under the name Mus musculus (house mouse). The record is from RNAcentral. RNAcentral also lists the same sequence under 1 other name. Lineage: Eukaryota; Metazoa; Chordata; Mammalia; Rodentia; Muridae.